Molecule: long non-coding RNA, 777 nt
Filed under: Marmota monax (woodchuck)
Lineage: Eukaryota; Metazoa; Chordata; Mammalia; Rodentia; Sciuridae
Source: RNAcentral
GUUAAUUUUACUCUCAGGUAAGGUUAAAACCAGGGUUGGGAGCUUUGCCAUAAGCAGAUCACUCCCUUCAUCUUCCCACAGGUUGUUGUGGACAUUUAAUAUUCUUGAGCUACCAGCUUUACUUUGAGUCCUCUGGCUUUCUCCAUGAAAAUGUUUUGAACCUCAUGAUUCAUUUGGCUCUAUUUGAAUAUAUUCUCUUUUCAUGUUUGUCCCCUUUGGGCUCCAGUUUUUGAGAUUACUGUUGCACUCAAGGGUAAUUCCCAAUGCCCCUUAGUUUUGAGUAGCCCCUAGAGUAUUCCCUACAUUACCAUUGAUAUCUUUAAUACUGUAGGAACAGUGUAGGUGAUAUUUUGUCAUCUUUCAAUUAGGGCAGAAGAUAUGCAAUUUGCCCAGGUUCACUAGCCAGGAAAGAACCAAUUGGGGUUCACUGGCUAGAAAAUAACUGAUUUGUCUAGAAUAGAAACUUGAGUGACUUGAUAUAGCUCACACAUACCCUCCUAGUACUUUCUUUUCAAAGGUUAGUUUCUUCCCUAGGUGAAGUUGGAUGCCCUCAGGUCUUAGAACUUGUUCAGUUGAUAAUAACUACUUUUGUCUAGACUUUGAAUGGUUUUUAACUUGGACCUUGGCAGUAACUCCCUGACUGAAACAUGCUGGUGACUUUUUUACUCUAGAAGAAAACCUUUCCCUUUAUCCUGUGCUGAUGACAGUUUGUGAUGUGGAAUUACCUUUUCUGGGGGAUGCUAAUUUUAACAUUAAGAGCAAUGAAGUGUCUUUGCC